Molecule: ribosomal RNA, 497 nt
Filed under: uncultured bacterium
Lineage: Bacteria
Description: partial 16S ribosomal RNA
Rfam family: Bacterial small subunit ribosomal RNA
Source: RNAcentral
GACGAACGCUGGCGGCGUGCCUAAUACAUGCAAGUAGAACGCUGAAGAGAGGAGCUUGCUCUUCUUGGAUGAGUUGCGAACGGGUGAGUAACGCGUAGGUAACCUGCCUGGUAGCGGGGGAUAACUAUUGGAAACGAUAGCUAAUACCGCAUAAAAUGGAUUAUCGCAUGAUAAUCCAUUGAAAGGUGCAAAUGCAUCACUACCAGAUGGACUUGCGUUGUAUUAGCUAGUUGGUGGGGUAACGGCUCACCAAGGCGACGAUACAUAGCCGACCUGAGAGGGGGAUCGGCCACACUGGGACUGGGACACGGCCCAGACUCCUACGGGAGGCAGCAGGAGGGAAACUUCGGCAAUGGAGGGAAGUCUGACCGAGCAACGCCGCGGGAGUGAAGAAGGUUUUCGGAUCGGAAAGCUCUGUUGUAAGAGAAGAACGAGUGGGGGAGUGGAAAGUGCACACUGUGACGGUAUCUUACCAGAAAGGGACGGCUAACUACGUG